UACGGAGGGGGCAAGCGUUGUUCGGAAUCAUUGGGCGUAAAGGGCGCGUAGGUGGUUCUGUAUGUCUACCGUGAAAGCGUACGGCUCAACCGUAUUUUGUCGGUAGAAACUGCAGGACUUGAGGCUGGGAGGGGCUGGUGGAAUUCCCUGUGUAGCGGUGAAAUGCGUAGAGAUGGGGGAGAACACUCGUGGCGAAGGCGGCCAGCUAGACCAGUUCUGACACUGAGGCGCGACAGCGUGGGAGCAAACAGG
Molecule: ribosomal RNA, 252 nt
Filed under: uncultured bacterium
Lineage: Bacteria
Description: partial 16S ribosomal RNA
Rfam family: Bacterial small subunit ribosomal RNA
Source: RNAcentral